Molecule: ribosomal RNA, 497 nt
Filed under: uncultured bacterium
Lineage: Bacteria
Description: partial 16S ribosomal RNA
Rfam family: Bacterial small subunit ribosomal RNA
Source: RNAcentral
GAUGAACGCUGGCGGUGUGCCUAAUACAUGCAAGUCGAGCGAACAGACGAGGAGCUUACUCCUCUGACGUUAGCGGCGGACGGGUGAGUAACACGUGGAUAACCUACCUAUAAGACUGGGAUAACUUCGGGAAACCGGAGCUAAUACCGGAUAACAUGUUGAACCGCAUGGUUCAACAGUGAAAGACGGUCUUGCUGUCACUUAUAGAUGGAUCCGCGUCGCAUUAGCUAGUUGGUAAGGUAACGGCUUACCAAGGCAACGAUGCGUAGCCGACCUGAGAGGGUGAUCGGCCACACUGGAACUGAGGCACGGUCCAGACUCCUACGGGAGGCAGCAGUAGGGAAUCUUCCGCAAUGGGCGAAAGCCUGACGGAGCAACGCCGCGUGAGUGAAGAAGGUCUUCGGAUCGUAAAACUCUGUUAUUAGGGAAGAACAAAUGUGUAAGUAACUAUGCACGUCUUGACGGUACCUAAUCAGAAAGCCACGGCUAACUACGUG